GAAGUAAAAAGUGUAACAAGGUCUCCGUUGGUGAACCAGCGGAGGGAUCAUUACCGAGUUUACAACUCCCAAACCCCUGUGAACAUACCACUUGUUGCCUCGGCGGAUCAGCCCGCUCCCGGUAAAACGGGACGGCCCGCCAGAGGACCCCUAAACUCUGUUUCUAUAUGUAACUUCUGAGUAAAACCAUAAAUAAAUCAAAACUUUCAACAACGGAUCUCUUGGUUCUGGCAUCGAUGAAGAACGCAGCAAAAUGCGAUAAGUAAUGUGAAUUGCAGAAUUCAGUGAAUCAUCGAAUCUUUGAACGCACAUUGCGCCCGCCAGUAUUCUGGCGGGCAUGCCUGUUCGAGCGUCAUUUCAACCCUCAAGCACAGCUUGGUGUUGGGACUCGCGUUAAUUCGCGUUCCCCAAAUUGAUUGGCGGUCACGUCGAGCUUCCAUAGCGUAGUAGUAAAACCCUCGUUACUGGUAAUCGUCGCGGCCACGCCGUUAAACCCCAACUUCUGAAUGUUGACCUCGGAUCAGGUAGGAAUACCCGCUGAACUUAAGCAUAUC
This 554-nucleotide ribosomal RNA is filed under the name Fusarium oxysporum. Its description in RNAcentral is "eukaryotic LSU rRNA". The stretch from base 202 to 355 matches the Rfam family "5.8S ribosomal RNA". The record is from RNAcentral. Lineage: Eukaryota; Fungi; Ascomycota; Sordariomycetes; Hypocreales; Nectriaceae.